RNAcentral lists this ribosomal RNA (144 nucleotides) under Chitinispirillaceae bacterium. RNAcentral describes it as "partial 23S ribosomal RNA". It matches the Rfam family "Bacterial large subunit ribosomal RNA", at positions 2786 to 2925 of the family's 2925-position model. Lineage: Bacteria; Pseudomonadati; Fibrobacterota; Chitinispirillia; Chitinispirillales; Chitinispirillaceae. The record is from RNAcentral.
CGGGAAGCCAGCCUCAAGAUUAGAUAUCGCGUGGGGGUAACCCCCCUGAAGGAUCCUUGAAGACUACAAGGUUGAUAGGUCACAGAUACAAGUGUGGUAACACAUUCAGUCGAGUGAUACUAAUAAUCCGUGCGGCUUGAUACU